RNAcentral lists this ribosomal RNA (238 nucleotides) under uncultured bacterium. Its description in RNAcentral is "partial 16S ribosomal RNA". It matches the Rfam family "Bacterial small subunit ribosomal RNA", at positions 523 to 760 of the family's 1533-position model. The record is from RNAcentral.
AUACAGAGGGUGCUAGCGUUAAUCGGAUUUACUGGGCGUAAAGCGUGUGUAGGUGGUUGUUCAAGUCAGUUGUGAAAUCCCUGGGCUUAACCUGGGAACUGCUUCUGAGACUGAACGACUAGAGUACGGUAGAGGAUAGUGGAAUUUCCAGUGUAGCGGUGAAAUGCGUAGAUAUUGGAAGGAACACCAGUGGCGAAGGCGACUAUCUGGAUAGAUACUGACACUGAGACACGAAAGC